UGCAGGGAACACGGGUUCGAGCCCUGGUCUGGGAAGAUUCCCACAUGCCGCAGAGCAACUAAGCCCAUACGCCACAACUACUGAGCCCGCGAGCCACAACUACUGAAGCCCGUGCGCCUGGACUACUGAAGCCCGCGCGCCUAGAGCCCGUGCUCCACAACAAGAGAAGCCACCGCGAUGAGAAACCCUCACACCGCAACGAAGACCCAACGCAGCAAAAAUAAAUUAAUUAAUAAAUUAAAAAAAAUACAUUUGUUAAAAAAAAAUGCUAUAAGUGGGAAUUCCCUGGCGGUCCAGUGGUUAGGACUUGGUGCUUUCACUGCCAAGGGCCGGGGUUCAAUCUCUGGUCAGGGAACUAAGAUCCCAGAAGCUGUGUGGUGCGACCGAAAAAAAAAUGCUAUAAGUAACAUUAAAAGAGAAGUGAUACUACCAUGUAUAAAAUAGACAGCUAGUGGGAACCUGCUGUAUAGCACAGGGAGCUCAGCUCAGUGCUCUGUGAGGACCUACACGGGUGGGAUGGGGGGUGAGGGAGGGCCGCGAGGGAGGGGGUAUAAUUAUGCAUAUGGCUGAUUCACUUCACUGUACAGCAGAAACUAACAACAUUGUAAAGCAAUUAUUCUCCAAUAAAAAGUAAAAUAAAACAAAUGGUGCAUCCAUUUGGAAUAAUUUUAAAAAAAAGAAGUGAUAAAUUUGGGAAAAUGACUAUUUGAGAGACAAAGCUAAUAUAUUUAAUAUAUAGUAUGUCUCUCACAAAUCAAUACAAGAAGAUGAAUACUGUAAUAGAUAAAUGGGAAACUAGUCUUAUAAGAGAAAAAAGGCAAAUAAAAUUAUGAAGAAAUGUUUCACAUCAUUAGUUAGCCAUUAAAGAAAUAUAAAUUUAAAAAACAACGUGUACUCUUACCUAUCGCUGGUAUGCAUGAAAAUUUGUACAACUUCUCCGAAGAACAGUAUAGCAUAUAUAUCAAAAGGCAACAAAAAUGAAUGGACAAUUCACAUUUAAGAACUUAUCCAUAUCUAAGAAUAAUCAGUGAAGUAAGCAAAGAUGUAUGUUCAAGGGUAUUCCUUACAGCUUUAUCAUAAAAACAAAAAUUAUCGAAAUAACAAAAAUAUCCUGUAACAGGGGUUUGGUUACAAACAAACAAAAGUAAUGCAUCCAAACAAUGGAAUUCACUAUGCAUUAAAUUGAUGUUUUAGAUGAAUAAUUAUUAAUAUCAAGGUAUAUUAAUAAUACUGUUAUGUGAAAGAAAAAAGGUACAAAUGGGAUAUACAAUAUGAUCUCACUUUGGUACAAAAUAUAUGGAAGUAUAUACAAAGCAUAUCUCUGGGUGGUGAAAUUACAGGUGUUUCUUUUCUCCAUUUGCUUUUCUGUAUUUUCUAAAUCAAAGAAAUAAAUGUGGAUUGCUUUCACCGUGAGAAAAAAUUGUGAGUUUUAAGUAUAAAAAAUAUACUCAAUUGCAAUUAGAAGAAGUAUUCUAAAUUGUUUUUAGUAUUAAUGUAGGGUUCCUGAAGUUAUUUGUACUGUGUUCCCUUUUCCUAAUGAAAAAAGACAUACUUUAAAAAGUGCUGGCCACGAUUUGCGAACAGGCUGUGGUCCCGACCAUUUUUUUCCCGAUCCUACCCACCACGUCUCUGCUCUCAUCUCUCACUUCCAUCCUCACUCCCAAAAGUUAACCAGACUAGCUAAGUGGCCUGUGGAAGGUAAACAACAAAACUCACUUCAAAUGAAAUCAAAAGUUAGAUGAUGUCCAAGUAUCCAACCUGCUUGAACCAGCCCCGCUCUGUGAAUAUUCAUGUGGACAAACGAGAUCGGCAGUGAGAAAAUGGUUUGCUAUUCGCACAUGUCCAGGUGGCUCCGAGCAUUUCCGAUCAUAUUUACCUUCAAAUAAAAAUCUCCUGAUCUUCUUUACAAAUGGUUGUUAUUAUUCUGAAUUGUGUCCACUAAUAUAUCAAAAAAUGUUUUAAAAUGCAAUAAGAAACAGGUUUAAGCAGAUUUAAAAUGGAUUAGCUAACGCUCCAGAGUCUUUCUUCUGUUUUCAAGGACACCUCUUUAGUUUGGGAAUCGUGGAGGACGAUCUCUGCACAUUUUUAACCCUCUGGGCCAUUUGUUGCUUCUCCUGCCUUUUCAACUCCAGCUUUGAUUUUGAAGACCCCAAGUGUUUCUCAAGGGGCAAAGAUAAUGUUGAGUUACCCAAGUGCCAUAAGCAAUAUCAUUUUGGAUGCCACAGGCUUUUUCCUUUUCAAAUGCUCAAGCCCAAGCUGUAAUUUUCCUCUUCCAGUUUUAUCCAGAACCUUUAAAUCAACAACAGAAGAAACUAAACAGGAAGCUGCCUUUCUCUGAUGUAGAAAAUGGGAAGGAAGAUGGGGACAGAUGAGAAAACUAAAUCUGGAGAAGGAAGCCACCAUAUUUUGUUUCUGUUCAUCAAAAUCACAUAUUCAGCAUCCUCCCAGUAGCCUGGCCCAAAAGAUCAAACAUGGGGGGGGGGGCAGUACAUUUUUCUAGCUGUCUAUAGGGCAUCACGAAAGGAACGACCAUAUUCUAUCUUCAGCAACAGUUCGAAAUCCAUUUAGAAAGAGGUCCACAAAAGUUGAAGCAUAACUCCUAACAAGAGGUUUAAAGGAAGAAUUGAUUUAUGUUUUUAGUGACAAAAAAGAAGGAAAAUUUAGCCCAUAUGCCAUCACUUGUUCAAAUACGAACAUAUUUGAAAUGAGAGUGAUAACUGUUUCCAUAGCAAAUAUGGUAACACAAAAAUAACACAUCUGUGCUUUGUUUUUCUGAAUGCUAUUUGGAGCCAGUUUUGUUUAAGAAGCCUAGGCAGGACUAAUUCACUUAGUUCGGUCGAGUAGAGCAGUGACCUCCAGACUGGGAUUUCACAGAGCAGCGAUGGUUCCCAAAUGAAUGAAUAAGUGAAUAAACUGGAGAGGAGAAAAUACAGGGUUGUCCACUUUUCAUUUCUCUAAAUGAUACAAAAAGCUCAACCAUCGUCAAUAAUCAUGGUUAUUCCCUGAGAGAAAGGACAUUUUAACAGAAAAAAAUCAGGAAGGGAACAAUCUCAUAAUAAAAAAUAGUCCUUCAGAGGAAGAAAAUUAGUUUAUGGAAAAAAUCACUACAUUUUCUCACUAUAGAUUCUAAUAAAACAUAAUAGACUAGGAACCAAUGGAAACGACUUAGUAUAGUAUUGAGAUUAACUUUCCAUUUUUAAUUCCCAUAUAAGCUAGUUAAGUUAUAUUGGUCUGUUUCACGGUCUUAGAAUGUGUGUUAAUGUGUAUUUUUUGUUACCUGUUAAUUCACUGAUUCUUUCUUCUAUUCAACAAAUACUUGCUGUGGUCUAUUAUAUAUUAGGCACUGAUGGAGGUUAUGAAGCAGAAUAAGAUUGUCUCUUCUCUCUUUUUUUUUUUUUAAAUUUUAUUUUAUUUAUUUUUUAUACAGCAGGUUCUUAUUAGUUAUCCAUUUUAUACAUAUUAGUGUAUACAUGUCAAUCCCAAUCUCCCAAUUCAUCACAUCACUGCCCCACCCCGCCCCCCGCUUUCCCCCCUUGGUGUCCAUACGUUUGUUCUCCACAUCUGUCUCUAUUUCUCCCUUGCAAACCGGUUUCAUCUGUACCAUUUUUCUAGAUGUCACAUAUAUGCGUUAAUAUACGAUAUUUGUUUUUCUCUUUCCAACUGACUUCACUCUCUAUGACAGUCUCUAGAUCCAUCCACGUCUCUACAAAUGACCCAAUUUUGUUCCUUUUUAUGACUGAGUAAUAUUCCAUUGUAUAUAUGUACUACAUCUUCUUUAUCCAUUCGUCUGUCCAUGGGCAUUUAGGUUGCUUCCAUGUCCUGGCUAUUGUAAAUAGUGCUGCAAUGAACAUUGGGGUGCAUGUGUCUUUUUGAAUUAUGGUUUUCUCAUGGUAUGUGCCCAGUAAUGGGAUUGCUGGGUCAUAUGGUAAUUCUAUUUUUAGUUUUUUAAGGAACCUCCAUACUGUUCUCCAUAGUGGCUGUGUCAGUUUACAUUCCCACCAACUGUGCAAGAGGGUUCCCUUCUCUCCACACCCUCUCCAGCAUUUUUUGUUUGUAGGUUUUUUGAUGAUGGCUAUUCUAACCGGUGUGAGGUGAUACCUCAUUGCAGUUUUGAUUUGCAUUUCUCUAAUGAUUAGUGAUGUUGAGCGUCUUUUCAUGUGUUAGUUGACCAUCUGUGUGUCUUCUUUGGAGAAACGUCUCUUUAGGUCUUGUGCCCAUUUUUUGAUUGGGUUGUUUAUUUUUUUAAUAUUGAGCUGCAUGAGAAGAUUGUCUCUUAUGGUGCACAGAAAGAGUUAUAAUUCAAGACAAAACUUACCAUGAGAGGGCACAGAUCGAUGCGGGAAGCCAAGGGUGGGGCUGUAAAGGCUUCAUGGGGAAGGUGGCAUUUGAGGCAGAUAUUGAAAGAUGAGAGGAUUUCCAUAGCUCACGUUGGUCUGGUGGAGGGUGUUAUGGACGGAGGUUAAAAAAAAAAUCAUCCAAACCAGUCAGCCUGGGAAAGGGUUCAAUAUGUCCAAGGUCUUGAGAGCAGUAUGGCUCGAUAUGUACUAGAGAGUCCUGGGGAAAUACGAACAUAGCGAAGGCCAUUUCGUAGGGGAUCCUCAGAAUCAAGGCGAAUGUUUAGACCGCAUCUAGGAAGCCAAGCAGAGCGAGCAAGCAGGUGUGUGCGGAUGGAGAGAUUCCUGACCUUGAAAUCAGGAGGCGCGACUUUGAGCGUCCGCGCUGUUCUCCCCAUGAAACCUUGAGGAAUUCUCUUACUCUCUCUGGGCCUCCAUUUUCCGGCUGUAAAAUGUGAUUAAUACCUCGAUGACGUGCUAUCGUAUUAUUCAGUUCAAUAAGCCGCAGUACGGGAAAGGCCUAGGACAGUAUCAGACACAUAGUCGGAAACCAUGACAGUUUGCUGGUCGUGGAUAUUUGCUGGAUCACCAAAAUCCAGGUUUAGGAAGAUUCUCACAUUCACCUGUGGGCUCAGAAAGUGAGAAAUAGUGGGAGUGGAUGAGAGGGAACGGAAGUGAGAGAUACUCGCAUUGGCUGGGUGCAGGACUCAAGGACAACGACACGUUAGCAGCACGUGCGAGGCAGAAGCUGAGACGCGGAUUAGGGAACCGCCUGGUCCAGUGGUGAGAGUUGAAGCCAUAAAGACAUCCCUGUGAUGCCAAGAGCAGGAGUGUAGAGGAAGGAGGGGACCAAGGGCUGAGUUUUGACCAUCUCCUCUGCUGGGCUCGGAAGGACAGCAGAGAGAACACGGGUCUCCCGGAGCCCACGGAACCUGAGAGAGAAGAUGGCCUCGGGAACAAAGGGGCAGUUGUAAGUGCCACACGUCACAGGGGCCAAAGAAACAGGAGCACAGGAGUCACAACGGGAGCUCCUGAGGGACUUUUGUGAGCACAGUGUCAGUGGUUCCGGGGGAGCUGAAGCCACAUUGCAGGAAAGAGUGAAGAGGUGAGUUUAAAAUAGAUUAAGUUAAUAUUUGGAAUAGGUAAAGCUGCCUAUGAAUCAAAAGGUACCAAAGCAUAUAAAGAGAAACCUAGGUCUCUCACCUACUCCUCCAAUUUCUGUUCAAAUGUUCAGGAAUAUCCAUGGAGAGUCAAUGAAUAGGUAUUUUUGGUUUUGGUUUUCGGGAUUUUUUAGUCACGAGAAUUUUUUUAUUGUUAUUUUAUGAUAGUUUCACACAUUUUAAUAUAUACCUGAUUCUUCAUAAUCUGAAUUUAUAGUAACAUAUCAGGCACGUUUUCGAAAUACCAACUAAAACCUACUACUCUGCACCCCUCUUUCUACUUGACCAUAUGAUGUCUUGGAGACCUCUCUAUAUGAUCCCGACGUACAGCGUAAUUUAUUUGAUCAGUCUUGACACAAUGCUCUACUGGUGGAUAUGUGGGAUGUUUCCAUCAAGAACUUGAUAAACAGAACAAAAUCUUCAUGAGUGACUAGGCGACGUUCCAGAACUCUAGACCUUGAUGACUCAAGUAGCAGAACUGCUGGAUUUACCCACAAACAGCUGCAUCCAUUCCCUCUUGCUAGACUCCUUCCAGUUUUGUUUUUGGCCAAGUCAUGCAGCAUGUGGGAUCUUCCCCCACCAGGUAUUGAACCCGUGCCCCCUUCCCUGCUGCGUUGGGAAUGCGCAGUCUUAACCACUGGACCGCCAGGGAAGUCCCCUUCCAGGUUUUUUUUUUUUUUUUUUUUUUUUGCGGUACGCGGGCCUGUCACUGUUGUGGCCUCUCCCGUUGCGGAGCACAGGCUCCGGACGCGCAGGCCCAGCGGCCAUGGCUCAUGGGCCCAGCCGCUCCACGGCAUGUGGGAUCUUCCUGGACCAGGGCACGAACCCGUGUCCCCUGCAUCGGCAGGCGGACUCUCUACCGCUGCGCCACCAGGGAAGCCCCCACUUCCAGUUUUUAUUUGGUCCUUGCCUUCACUGGAGGACCCCAUUUCUUGUCCUGUAACCUCCCCUAGCCUUUUUGCAUUAUCCUAUCAUAAUGCUUUCUGGAAAUAAAAAAAGUAACUUCCGCUCUAAAGAUUUAAAUCUUGAGUGCUAGCCAGCUGACUGAUUAAACCUUCAGUUAUGGGAGAGAUGUCACCCUCCCAUUGUGGACUGUUGGCAUUGCGAGUACCUUAGAAUUUGCAUAACUCUACCUCCUUUGUUUUACAGAAGUGGAAAUCGAAGAGCAGAGAAGUGACAUGUGUUCCCCCAAAUCAUGUGGCCAAAGAGUAGUGGAGCCCAGUAUCCUCACUACCUUUUUUUUUUUAAAAUAAAUUUAUUUAUUUAUGGCU
Molecule: long non-coding RNA, 6765 nt
Organism: Orcinus orca (killer whale)
Lineage: Eukaryota; Metazoa; Chordata; Mammalia; Artiodactyla; Delphinidae
Exons: 2
Source: RefSeq, a predicted model, not a curated record